GAUGAACGCUGGCGGCGUGCCUAAUACAUGCAAGUCGAGCGAACAGACGAGGAGCUUGCUCCUCUGACGUUAGCGGCGGACGGGUGAGUAACACGUGGAUAACCUACCUAUAAGACUGGGAUAACUUCGGGAAACCGGAGCUAAUACCGGAUAAUAUAUUGAACCGCAUUGUUCAAUGGUGAAAGACGGUUUUGCUGGCACUUAUAGAUGGAUCCGCGCCGCAUUAGCUAGUUGGUAAGGUAACGGCUUACCAAGGCAACGAUGCGUAGCCGACCUGAGAGGGUGAUCGGCCACACUGGAACUUAGACACGGUCCAGACUCCUACGGGAGGCAGCAGUAGGGAAUCUGACGCAAUGGGCGAAAGCCUGACGGAGCAACGCCGCGUGAGUUAUGAAGGUCUUCGGAUCGUAAAACCCUGUUAUUAGGGAAGAACAAAUGUGUAAGUAACUAUGCACGUCUUGACGGUACCUAAUCAGAAAGCCACGGCUAACUACGUG
RNAcentral lists this ribosomal RNA (497 nucleotides) under uncultured bacterium. Its description in RNAcentral is "partial 16S ribosomal RNA". It matches the Rfam family "Bacterial small subunit ribosomal RNA", at positions 28 to 507 of the family's 1533-position model. The record is from RNAcentral.